UCCGGUUUGUCACCGGCAGUCUCCUUAGAGUUCCCGCCAUUACGCGCUGGCAACUAAGGACAAGGGUUGCGCUCGUUGCGGGACUUAACCCAACAUCUCACGACACGAGCUGACGACAGCCAUGCAGCACCUGUCUCACGGUUCCCGAAGGCACAUCCGCAUCUCUGCAGACUUCCGUGGAUGUCAAGGCCAGGUAAGGUUCUUCGCGUUGCAUCGAAUUAAUCCACAUCAUCCACCGCUUGUGCGGGUCCCCGUCAAUUCCUUUGAGUUUUAGCCUUGCGGCCGUACUCCCCAGGCGGGGCACUUAAUGCGUUAGCUUCGGCACGGCGGGAUUGGUACCCGCCAUACCAAGUCUUCAUCGUUUAGGGCUAGGACUAC
This 378-nucleotide unclassified non-coding RNA is filed under the name uncultured Pseudomonadota bacterium. Its description in RNAcentral is "uncultured proteobacterium contains 16S-23S intergenic spacer region". The record is from RNAcentral. Lineage: Bacteria; Pseudomonadati; Pseudomonadota.